RNAcentral lists this unclassified non-coding RNA (383 nucleotides) under uncultured Phycisphaerae bacterium. RNAcentral's name for it is "contains 16S-23S intergenic spacer region". Lineage: Bacteria; Pseudomonadati; Planctomycetota; Phycisphaerae. The record is from RNAcentral.
UCCGGUUUAACACCGGCGGUCUCGUUAGAGUUCCCGGCCUAACCGCUGGCAACUAACGAUAGGGGUUUCGCUCGUUAAGGGACUUAACCCGACACUUCACAGCACGAGCUGACGACAGCCAUGCAGCACCUGUGUACGUUUCACCCGAAGGCAACCGGCUCCACUUUCAUGGACGGCAUCCGUACAUGUCAAACCCAGGUAAGGUUCUUCGCGUUGCUUCGAAUUAAUCCACAUGCUCCACCGCUUGUGUGAGCCCCCGUCAAUUCCUUUGAGUUUUAGCCUUGCGGCCGUACUCCCCAGGCGGCGCACUUAACGCUUUUGUUUCGGCACGAGCGGCGUCAGACCUCUCAUACCUAGUGCGCAUCGUUUACGGCGUGGACUAC